This 277-nucleotide ribosomal RNA is filed under the name uncultured cyanobacterium. RNAcentral's name for it is "partial 16S ribosomal RNA". It matches the Rfam family "Bacterial small subunit ribosomal RNA", at positions 434 to 726 of the family's 1533-position model. Lineage: Bacteria; Bacillati; Cyanobacteriota. The record is from RNAcentral.
UUUUCCCUGAGAAGAAGAUCUGACGGUAUCAGGGGAAUAAGCAUCGGCUAACUUCGUGCCAGCAGCCGCGGUAAUACGAGGGAUGCAAGCGUUAUCCGGAAUUAUUGGGCGUAAAGCGUCCGCAGGUGGCUCUGUAAGUCUGUCGUUAAAGAAUGGGGCUCAACCCCAUACAGGCGAUGGAAACUACAAGGCUAGAGUUUGGUAGGGGUCACGGGAAUUCUUAGUGUAGCGGUGAAAUGCGUAGAUAUUAAGAAGAACACCAGCGGCGAAAGCGCGU